This 774-nucleotide long non-coding RNA is filed under the name Chinchilla lanigera (long-tailed chinchilla). RNAcentral describes it as "lncRNA (ENSCLAG00000024742.1)". Lineage: Eukaryota; Metazoa; Chordata; Mammalia; Rodentia; Chinchillidae. The record is from RNAcentral.
GAGCCAGGAGGCCUACGCAAUGGUUCAGAAAGAGUGCUGUCAAAAGAAAACACGAAUAUACAUUUUCUUUGGGAAUGGUGGAGUUGCAGGAUCCUGCAGCAACCCAUCAGAGGACAACCGAUCCCAACAGCCCUGGGUUCUGCCAAAGGCCAAGAGGGUUGAGAAGUUCUAGACGUUUUCUUAGCCUGUGUAUGGGAUAUGGUGCAAGAGCAUUUCUGUCUAUUUCAAGUAACUUGUAUUACUUUACAUUAUUUACAUUACUUUAUUUACAUUACUUUAUUUUAUUACUUUACAUUACAUUACUUUCUAUUUCAAAUAACAUUUAUUGAGUCACCCUUACUGGCUGGGCCGUCCAGAAGAUGCAGUUAUGAAUAAGGCAUGGCUCCUGCUUUGAAAACUGCACUGCCUAAAAAAGGAUGGGCACACCACAUCUGUAGGUUGAGGACCACUGCUUGUUUUUGUAAAUAGGUUUUAUUAGAGCAAAACUAUGCUUUUAUAUUUAUCUAUUGCCUGGUUGAUUUUGCUUUAUAAUGGCAGAAUUGAGUAAUACUAUAAAAGAUCAUAUGGCUCACAGCCUAAAAUAUUUACUAUUUGUUCCUUCACAAAAAAAGUUUGCCCACUUUUGUACAAUUCAGUGAUUCUUCAUAUAUUCAGAGAAUCAUUCAGCCAUCACUGCUAUCAAAUUUUGAACACAUUCAUUACUCCAGGAGAAACCUCAUACCCAUUAGCAGGACCACUGCCGGUUUUUGUAAAUAAAAUUUUCUUCUAGCAAAA